UACGAAGGGGGCUAGCGUUGUUCGGAAUUACUGGGCGUAAAGCGCACGUAGGCGGAUUUGUAAGUCAGGGGUGAAAUCCCGGGGCUCAACCUCGGAACUGCCUUUGAUACUGCAAGUCUCGAGUCCGAUAGAGGUGAGUGGAAUUCCUAGUGUAGAGGUGAAAUUCGUAGAUAUCAAGUGGAACACCGGUGGCGAAGGCGGCCUUCUGGACAGUGACUGACGCUGAGACGCGAAAGCGUGGGGAGCAAACAGG
Molecule: ribosomal RNA, 253 nt
Filed under: uncultured bacterium
Lineage: Bacteria
Description: partial 16S ribosomal RNA
Rfam family: Bacterial small subunit ribosomal RNA
Source: RNAcentral